UGGCUUAGUGGUAAAGAAUCUGCCUGCAAAGUUGGAGACCCAGGUUCAAUCCCUGG
RNAcentral lists this transfer RNA (56 nucleotides) under Bos indicus x Bos taurus (hybrid cattle). It matches the Rfam family "tRNA", at positions 8 to 63 of the family's 71-position model. From Rfam's summary of the family: Transfer RNA (tRNA) molecules are approximately 80 nucleotides in length. Their secondary structure includes four short double-helical elements and three loops (D, anti-codon, and T loops). Lineage: Eukaryota; Metazoa; Chordata; Mammalia; Artiodactyla; Bovidae. The record is from Rfam by way of RNAcentral.